RNAcentral lists this ribosomal RNA (497 nucleotides) under uncultured bacterium. RNAcentral's name for it is "partial 16S ribosomal RNA". It matches the Rfam family "Bacterial small subunit ribosomal RNA", at positions 28 to 507 of the family's 1533-position model. The record is from RNAcentral.
GAUGAACGCUGGCGGCGUGCCUAAUACAUGCAAGUCGAGCGAACGGACAGUAAGCUUGUUCUCUUACGGUUGGCGGGGGACGGGUGGGUACCACAUGGAUAGCCAACUACUAUUUCGGGGAUAAUUACGGAAAACCGAAUCUAAUACCGCAUAAUAUUUUCAACGGAUUGAUUCAAAGGUAAAUCAGGGCUUGCUCGUCUGUAUUAGCUGAUUCCGCGCUGCAUUAGCUAGUUGGUAAGGUAACGCCUAACCAAGGCAACGAUGCUUAGCCGACCUGAGAGGGUGAUCGGCCACACUGGAACUGAGACACGGUCCAGACUCCUACGGGAGGCAGCAGUAGGGAAUAUUGCGCAAUGGGCGAAAGCCUGACGGAGCAACGCCGCGUGAGUGAUGAAGGUCUUCGGAUCGUAAAGCUCUGUUAUUAGGGAAGAACAUAUGUGUAAGUAACUGUGCACGUCUUGACGGUACCUAAUCAGAAAGCAACGGCUAACUACGUG